This 637-nucleotide unclassified non-coding RNA is filed under the name Hevea brasiliensis (rubber tree). Lineage: Eukaryota; Viridiplantae; Streptophyta; Magnoliopsida; Malpighiales; Euphorbiaceae. The record is from RNAcentral.
UCCUCUCUCUCUCUCUCUCUCCCUCACAAAAAUUAGUAUCCAAAGAGCCUUUUCUCUUAUUCCAUCUACUCUGCUCGUUCUUCUUGAUUUUGUUCUGAUUCUUGAAUCCAUCUUUUCUUUCAUUCUGGUUUGCUCUGUUCUUGUUCUGUUUUUUACUUUUUGGAUUACCCUUUCCUGGGUUUGCUUAAUUUUCACUUGAAAAAUCUCUUAUUUUCUUUCUUUCAAUCAAAAUAUGGGGUUUUCAAAGAAGACGCAAGUGGAUUCUGGUUUAGACUCGGAAGGGAAAAAAUGGGUAAUCGCUGGAAUAGCUAUUAGGACUUCACUCAAGCCAAUAAGCACAAAACCAAGAGGAAAAGACGUCGACGAUGGUGAUGAAGAAGAGGAGCGUUCUACAACCCCAACAGCGAAAGAGGCAAGAAUACCAGAGAGAUUACCGUGUCCGCCAGCACCAAGGAAGCGACGGCCUUCUUCGAGGUGCAACUACAAUGGUGUUAGGGAGUUCUUUACUCCCCCUGAUUUGGAAUCAGUGUUUAAAUGCUAUGUUGAGAAAGCAAAUUGAGAGACAAGACUUGCACUUUGUUUGGCCUUAAGAGAGGGUUGAGUUAGGGCUUAGAGAUUUUGUAGUGUUUUCACUAUU